Molecule: ribosomal RNA, 496 nt
Filed under: uncultured bacterium
Lineage: Bacteria
Description: partial 16S ribosomal RNA
Rfam family: Bacterial small subunit ribosomal RNA
Source: RNAcentral
GAUGAACGCUGGCGGCGUGCCUAAUACAUGCAAGUCGAGCGAACGGACGAGAAGCUUGCUUCUCUGAUGUUAGCGGCGGACGGGUGAGUAACACGUGGAUAACCUACCUAUAAGACUGGGAUAACUUCGGGAAACCGGAGCUAAUACCGGAUAAUAUUUUGAACCGCAUGGUUCAAAAGUGAAAGACGGUCUUGCUGUCACUUAUAGAUGGAUCCGCGCUGCAUUAGCUAGUUGGUAAGGUAACGGCUUACCAAGGCAACGAUGCAUAGCCGACCUGAGAGGGUGAUCCGCCACGCUGGAACUGGGACCGGGUCCAAGCCCCCAGGGGAGGCAGAGGUGGGAAAUCUUCCGCAAUGGGCGAAAGCCUGAAGGAGCAACCCCGGGUGAGUAGAAAAGGUCUUCGGAUCGUAAAACUCUGUUAUUAGGGGAGAACAGAUGUGUAAAUAACUGGACACAUUUUAACGGUACCUAAUCAGAAGACCACGGCUAAACACGU